Molecule: unclassified non-coding RNA, 147 nt
Organism: Macaca fascicularis (crab-eating macaque)
Lineage: Eukaryota; Metazoa; Chordata; Mammalia; Primates; Cercopithecidae
Rfam family: Metazoan signal recognition particle RNA
About the family: The signal recognition particle (SRP) is a universally conserved ribonucleoprotein. It is involved in the co-translational targeting of proteins to membranes. The eukaryotic SRP consists of a 300-nucleotide 7S RNA and six proteins: SRPs 72, 68, 54, 19, 14, and 9.
Source: Ensembl
GCUGGGGGUGGUGGCGCACACCUGUAGUCCAGCUACUCAGGAGGCUGAAGUGGGAGGAUCGCUUGAGCCCAGGAGUCCAAGGCUACAGUGAGCUAUGAUCAUGUCACUGUACUCUGGCCUGGGCAACGGAGCAAGACCUUGUCUCUA